Molecule: small RNA, 1687 nt
Filed under: Pan troglodytes (chimpanzee)
Lineage: Eukaryota; Metazoa; Chordata; Mammalia; Primates; Hominidae
Description: retained intron
Source: RNAcentral
GGUAUGUGGGGCCCAGCCCCAAGCUUGGCACCGCCGUCUUCCUUCAGGUGGGCCGGGUCCUCCUAGGGAAGAUCAGGGGCUGGCAGAGCCCCCACCCUGGGCAGGGAGGCUGUGGUCUUGUUCCUAGGACUGGGUUGCGGGUCCGUGGCCUGGAAGGUGGGCGCCACGCUCUGUCCUGUCCCCGAAGCCCAGCUCUUAGACCUGCCCCUGCCUCGGUGCCAGGGAGAGAGCUGCUGCCUUCUCACCACCCCUGAAGACGACGCAGGGCUCGGGGCCAGUGGAACCCUCCUUCCCACAGCCCCAGCCUGUUCUCAGGGCCGCUGGCCUAAGAUACUCCCUGCGGGGAAGGGGCUUCAUCGGGCACCCCAAGCCAGAGACCCCAGGGCAGCAGCCCCACCCACAGCCUCAGACGCAGCCCCUGCCUGCCCCUGCUGUCACCGCUCCCUGGCUGCAGGAAGGCAGCUAAGAGGGGCACCCUUGUCCCCCACUUGAGGUCCCCUGCACAGUGGCCAGAGCGGCAGGGACAGAUCCCAAAGACUCCCAGGGGGGUGUGGCCUUCAAUGGCUCAGGCGUCCCCUGCUGUCCUGGCUGCAGUGACCUGGGAGCCGACACCCUCGCUGAGGUUCCAGGAGCCCCCGCCUGGAGGAGCUGGCCCCCCAGAGCUGGCGCUGCUGGUGCUGUACCCUGGGCCUGGCCCUGAGGUCACUGUGACGAGGGCUGGGCUGCCGGGUGCCCAGGUACCAGGGAGUUGCAUGGGGCAGUGCCCGGGCUGCGGCGGGGGGCAUGGAUUUGUUGCAGGGUCUGCAGUACUGAGAACAGCGUAGAACCAGUGGCGAUGGGAGGAAGGGGACCGGUAGAGCGGGGCUGGGUAAGCCUCCAUCCAGCCGGGCUGAGCCCUGGUCUCCGCAGAGCCUCUGCCCGUCCCGGGACACCCGCUACCUGGUGUUAGCGGUGGACCGCCCUGCGGGGGCCUGGCGCGGCUCCGGGCUGGCCUUGACCCUGCAGCCCCGCGGAGAGGGCUCUCGGCUGAGUACCGCCCGGCUGCAGGCACUGCUGUUCGGCGACGACCACCGCUGCUUCACACGGAUGACCCCGGCCCUGCUCCUGCUGCCGCGGUCCGAGCCCGCGCCGCUGCCUGCGCACGGCCAGCUGGACACCGUGCCCUUCCCGCCGCCCAGGCCAUCCGCGGAACUCGAGGAGUCGCCACCCAGCGCAGACCCCUUCCUGGAGACGCUCACGCGCCUGGUGCGGGCGCUGCGGGGCCCCCCGGCCCGGGCCUCCGCGCCGCGCCUGGCCCUGGAUCCGGACGCGCUGGCCGGCUUCCCGCAGGGCCUAGUCAACCUGUCGGACCCCGCGGCGCUGGAGCGCCUACUCGAUGGCGAGGAGCCGCUGCUGCUGCUGCUGAGGCCCACUGCGGCCACCACCGGGGAUCCUGCGCCCCUGCACGACCCCACGUCGGCGCCGUGGGCCACGGCCCUGGCGCGCCGCGUGGCUGCCGAACUGCAAGCGGCGGCUGCCGAGCUGCGAAGCCUCCCGGGUCUGCCUCCGGCCGCAGCCCCGCUGCUGGCGCGCCUGCUCGCGCUCUGCCCAGGUGGCCCCGGCGGCCUCGGCGAUCCCCUGCGAGCGCUGCUGCUCCUGAAGGCGCUGCAGGGCCUGCGCGUGGAGUGGCGCGGGCGGGAUCCGCGCG